GAAAAUUUUCAAGUGGCAUUCAGACAACAGAUAUGAAAAACCAUUGUCUGAGGCUCUGAGCCUCGCUCUGAGGGCUUGUCCAUGAAUUAAACGAGGGCUUCUUAAUGUUAUUCAAAACCACGCCACCUAGCCUAUACUUCAUUUUGGGAACGAAAGAAUUGACAAACCCCAACCUUAUCUCCUUGAGAAACCCCUUCUUCGACAGACCUCGAGUCCUCGACCCUCUCCCUCUCCCUUCUUCGACACAAGUCUCCCCCGUCUUCUUGACAAGCCCUAACCUUAUCUCCUCCAGAGACCCCGACCCUAUCUCUUCUUCGACAAACCCCAACCAAAGCUCUCUCUCUCUUUGACGAAUCCCGACCAAAACCAUCUCUGCCUCUAGAUUGAAAACCUAAUGGGUAGCCUGGAGAGAGCCCUAGAUUGGAAGCCAUCUCUUCUCCAAUUCUUCGAAUCUCUUUCUCUCACAGUUCAUUUUGGUCUCUCUACGUAGGAGCAGAAGAACCUGAAGGGUGAGCUCCUUCGACCCCAUGAACGGGUGAAGAGGAUCCAGUCGGUGCCUAGCACAGAUGACGAACAACCUCAUCGCAGCGCUCUAGCUCCAAAGCUGAUCCCUCCCGAAAGUUUUCUCUGCAGAAGAGCGAAGAAUGUUGCAAAAUGUAGAGUGGAACAGCUUUGCCCCUUCCCCUAUGACCUCAUCCAGCAAGAGCUGUAGCGAUAUCCUACCACACCUUUUGGCCUUGUUUUCCAUUGACUUGUUUCUUUAACUGAUGGAAUACCAAAAUGCCAGCAGUACCCAAAGCAACGUCUAACAAAGUGGUGUGGGAUGCAACUGCAGCUGAUCCUAAAUUGCUGGUCUUUUUGAAAUCGUACAGGAAUUUCUUACACACUGAAUCUGGGUAAACAUGGUAUCGAGAAACAACUGUUUCAGCUUCCUGAUUUCAUUGCUGCAACUGGUAGUGAGAAAAUUAGACAGGUAAAUUGGUCAUGAGUUUUUUUAUUUGGAUUAUUCUUUGAGCACCGCACAUAAGUGCUCCUCUUACUAUCAAUGAGAACUCUGACUCUUAUGUUCACACUGAUACAGAGACGUUCCUCAAUAGGAUAGUUCUUGAGGUUAGUAUGUUUACUGUAAUAUCUCAUACAGCCUUAGCAGCAUAUGACGUUUCCAUCUUUUUAUUUUUAGGGGGAAUCUGCAUUAUGGAGACUUGCCUGGCACGCAUUAAAUCAUCAAUGAGGAUCACUAUGGGGCACUCAUCCACCACCUCUCUUUAGUUCGCAACAAACGCUGAAGUUGAUGAACUGCGUAAUGAACUCACAAAUUAUGAGGUGAAGAACCUGCCAAAGUUGGGAAGUGUGUUGGGAUGAAUCAUUGUUGGUCUUUUUUGGGUAUAUGCAAGGUCUGAAGUGCAUUAGGCAAGAUGUUGGUCCUUUUUGGGUUGGCCUGAAUUGCAUUUCUUCUAUAGAUGUGAUCAUGUACGGAUGAGACUAUUUUAGCCACAUUUGUAGAUGUUUUUUUUUUUUGUAUGAGAGAUCCGUAGAUGUGAUCUUUUCUAUUUUUUGGAUACAAUUAGCAUUAUCGGAUCCAUUUAUGGGAUUAUAACAGCUAUUUAUUAUAAGAAAAUUAUUGUUCAUUUGGUCAA
Long non-coding RNA from Rosa rugosa (rugosa rose), 1637 nucleotides. RefSeq lists it as uncharacterized. Lineage: Eukaryota; Viridiplantae; Streptophyta; Magnoliopsida; Rosales; Rosaceae. The record is from RefSeq and is a predicted model, not a curated record. The transcript is spliced from 5 exons.